RNAcentral lists this transfer-messenger RNA (375 nucleotides) under Acidobacteriota bacterium. RNAcentral's name for it is "Acidobacteria bacterium transfer-messenger RNA". It matches the Rfam family "transfer-messenger RNA". Rfam says of the family: Bacterial tmRNA, also known as 10Sa RNA or SsrA, is named for its dual tRNA and mRNA-like properties. Its role is to liberate the mRNA from a stalled ribosome. The record is from RNAcentral. Lineage: Bacteria; Pseudomonadati; Acidobacteriota. RNAcentral also lists the same sequence under 2 other names.
GGGGGCGACAGGCUUCGACAGGGGCUUGUAUAGAUCUUUGAAUGCACGUCGGGCUUUUUGUAGGUGAGCUCGUUAACAAAACUUGCAAAACACAAAUGCUAAUCAAGAAUUAGCUCUUGCUGCCUAAUUAACUUUAGUAACAGCAAUGUCCUUGGGUAAGUCAGCUUGGAGCGAUCCUAAAGGGCAUAACUCAGUCUAAGCUAGGGCACGUCCACCGCCUGCGGACGCGCCUGAAUAUGUUAGUCAGGCUGGUUUUCGACAGGGUACGCCGUUUUGCUUACCUGUCGAGAAUGAGAACCAAGCAAAGCGGCUAAACGUGUAGAUUUCACUGGUCGCAACCUUUGGAUGCGGGUUCGAUUCCCGCCGCCUCCACCA